ACUCCUACGGGAGGCAGCAGUGGGGAAUAUUGCACAAUGGGCGCAAGCCUGAUGCAGCCAUGCCGCGUGUGUGAAGAAGGCCUUCGGGUUGUAAAGCACUUUUCAGCAGUGAGGAAGGCGGAGUCGUUAAUAGCGGCCUCGUUUGACGUUAGCUGCAGAAGAAGCACCGGCUAACUCCGUGCCAGCAGCCGCGGUAAUACGGAGGGUGCGAGCGUUAAUCGGAAUUACUGGGCGUAAAGCGCAUGCAGGUGGUUUGUUAAGUCAGAUGUGAAAGCCCGGGGCUCAACCUCGGAAUAGCAUUUGAAACUGGCAGGUUAGAGUCUUGUAGAGGGGGGUAGAAUUUCAGGUGUAGCGGUGAAAUGCGUAGAGAUCUGAAGGAAUACCAGUGGCGAAGGCGGCCCCCUGGACAAAGACUGACGCUCAGAUGCGAAAAGCGUGGGGAGCAAACAGGAUUAGAUACCCUGGUAGGAUAGCG
RNAcentral lists this ribosomal RNA (475 nucleotides) under uncultured bacterium. Its description in RNAcentral is "bacterial SSU rRNA". It matches the Rfam family "Bacterial small subunit ribosomal RNA", at positions 335 to 799 of the family's 1533-position model. The record is from RNAcentral.